This 579-nucleotide ribosomal RNA is filed under the name Saccharomyces cerevisiae (brewer's yeast). RNAcentral's name for it is "eukaryotic LSU rRNA". It matches the Rfam family "Eukaryotic large subunit ribosomal RNA", at positions 61 to 654 of the family's 3401-position model. The record is from RNAcentral. Lineage: Eukaryota; Fungi; Ascomycota; Saccharomycetes; Saccharomycetales; Saccharomycetaceae.
GAAACCAACCGGGAUUGCCUUAGUAACGGCGAGUGAAGCGGCAAAAGCUCAAAUUUGAAAUCUGGUACCUUCGGUGCCCGAGUUGUAAUUUGGAGAGGGCAACUUUGGGGCCGUUCCUUGUCUAUGUUCCUUGGAACAGGACGUCAUAGAGGGUGAGAAUCCCGUGUGGCGAGGAGUGCGGUUCUUUGUAAAGUGCCUUCGAAGAGUCGAGUUGUUUGGGAAUGCAGCUCUAAGUGGGUGGUAAAUUCCAUCUAAAGCUAAAUAUUGGCGAGAGACCGAUAGCGAACAAGUACAGUGAUGGAAAGAUGAAAAGAACUUUGAAAAGAGAGUGAAAAAGUACGUGAAAUUGUUGAAAGGGAAGGGCAUUUGAUCAGACAUGGUGUUUUGUGCCCUCUGCUCCUUGUGGGUAGGGGAAUCUCGCAUUUCACUGGGCCAGCAUCAGUUUUGGUGGCAGGAUAAAUCCAUAGGAAUGUAGCUUGCCUCGGUAAGUAUUAUAGCCUGUGGGAAUACUGCCAGCUGGGACUGAGGACUGCGACGUAAGUCAAGGAUGCUGGCAUAAUGGUUAUAUGCCGCCCGUCU